Molecule: non-coding RNA, 129 nt
Filed under: pig gut metagenome
Description: glmS glucosamine-6-phosphate activated ribozyme
Rfam family: glmS glucosamine-6-phosphate activated ribozyme aptamer
About the family: This entry contains a glucosamine-6-phosphate activated ribozyme that is found in the mRNA for GlmS.
Source: RNAcentral
UUUAGGCGCCAGGACAACAUUUGUUGUUGACGAGGAAGAAGUUUAUCGAAAGAUUCGGCGGAUGCUUCUUGGCAUGAUUACUGUCAUAAGUAUUUAAUUAAAAACUAAUAGUGAUAUUAGAUAACAGAA